Xenopus laevis (African clawed frog) is the source of this 248-nucleotide long non-coding RNA. RefSeq lists it as uncharacterized. The record is from RefSeq and is a predicted model, not a curated record. NCBI's taxonomy places the organism in Eukaryota, Metazoa, Chordata, Amphibia, Anura, Pipidae. The transcript is spliced from 3 exons.
ACUGCAUGGAGGGGAAAAAUUGGAAUUAUUUGAUUAAAAGCGAGUCUAUAGGAAAUGGCUUCCUGCAAUUCAGAGCUGUCUACAUAACAGAAUUCUGGAUGACGGAUCUCAUACCUGUAUACAUCGCUUAAUGGAUCCAAGAUGAUCUGGCUAUGGAUGGUGCAGCUGCAGCAGCUGAUGAGCAGGCAGCACCACCUGAUGCAGCACAACCACCACCUUCUCCUGAGGACUGGGAUGAAGAGGAUCAG